CAAUACUUGCUAGCUCCUCCCUAGCAGACUAGCUGAAAGCCUUCUUUAUGAAGACAUCUAGCCAUUUUAAUCAUGAACUAUAUCUCAAUUAAUGCAGUUUCCGUAUGAAGGCUUGAAUGGUCUGCUCAAUCUGAUAAUGGUGAAAUUUUGGUGAAUCACUACUUGACAUGUGGUCGCAGUAAUGAUAUCAUUAUUACUAUCAGGCAUUUAACACAAGAUAGUUAUAGGAUUCACAGCUGUGCUAGCAGAGCAUUUUUGCAGUGCCAAAUUAUAUUUGGCAAGUGCACUUCAUGCCCAGGGUAAUUAACGAGUGUGAGAAGAAAUAUGUUGAUUUUGUAGGAAUAGGGCAUUAUCAACCCGUGAUUUAAGUAUCGUACUGGUAAUGUACCGAUAGCGAUAUGCCCCUUGGUUGAAUGCCUAAAAAAUUUAAUAGAGAGGUGCUUCUAUGGUAUUAUGUGAUUGACGCACGCCUUGAUGACCUAAAGUAAAAAUUUAUAGAAUGAGAUUUACUAUGUUGUAUGACUCAAAAUAUUACACAAUAAAAAGGGCUCUAAAAAACAAGUUGAGUGAAACAGGAACAUGAGAAGGAAGAGAUGGGUGAUGGUGUAUGUUGUUAUUUUAGCAAUUGGUGAUGAUUGAAU
RNAcentral lists this long non-coding RNA (641 nucleotides) under Phoenix dactylifera (date palm). RNAcentral's name for it is "long non-coding RNA (PDAC_LNC020120)". Lineage: Eukaryota; Viridiplantae; Streptophyta; Magnoliopsida; Arecales; Arecaceae. The record is from RNAcentral.